RNAcentral lists this ribosomal RNA (468 nucleotides) under uncultured bacterium. RNAcentral describes it as "partial 16S ribosomal RNA". It matches the Rfam family "Bacterial small subunit ribosomal RNA", at positions 28 to 507 of the family's 1533-position model. The record is from RNAcentral.
GACGAACGCUGGCGGCGUGCUUAACACAUGCAAGUCGAACGGAAAGGCCCUGCUUUUGUGGGGUGCUCGAGUGGCGAACGGGUGAGUAACACGUGAGUAACCUGCCCUUGACUUUGGGAUAACUUCAGGAAACUGGGGCUAAUACCGGAUAGGAGCUCCUGCUGCAUGGUGGGGGUUGGAGAGUGUUGGCGGUUGGGGCUGGUCUCGCGGCUUAUCAGCUUGUUGGGCGGGUAGUUGCUUACCAAGGCUUUGACGGGUAGCCGGCCUGAGAGCGUGACCGGCCACCAUGCGCCUACGAUACGCACCAGAAUCCUACGGGCGGCAGCAGUGGGGAGUCUUACGGAACGGGGGGGAGCGUGAUGUAGAGAUGUCCGGUGCGUGAUGCCGGCCUUCUGGUUGUAAACCAAUUUCGACUGUGCCGUGGCGUUAGUGACGGUACUGGGUCAGGAAGCCCCGGCUAACUACGUG